GAACGAGUGCGCGCGCGCCUUAAAGGGGCAGGCACCGCGGGCCGGCCGCCCUGCUUGCCGAGCAGGUUUCCCGCUGAGCCCGAGGCCGUGUGAACCCUGCGGCGGCCUUUUACCGUGACGAGGUUUCACUGGGGUCGCCCCUUGCCCCAGUGCCUCCGCCCGCCCGCGGGCCUCUCCGCGCUGGGCGGCCUCGGGCGGCCUUCUCGAGCCGCGGGUACGGGAAUAUCCUCGGGGAAGGCGGAACUGUGAGCGGCCCGGGCAAAACGCACUUCCCUGCUCUCCUAGUCCCCCUCUGUGCAUGGGCGUGCUGGCUCCUGCGCACCAACAGGGGAAGAGGAAAAGGAGACGUGCGGUCAUUAGGGCGAGGCUGGAGUUUAGGGUAAGAACAAUCACGUCAGUUCUUACCUAUCGCACUCCCCACCGAAGCGUGUUUUGAAAUUACAGGCGUUUAACGCCUGUAAUAAUAAAUAAAAAAAAUAAAUAUCA
RNAcentral lists this long non-coding RNA (486 nucleotides) under Apteryx rowi (Okarito brown kiwi). RNAcentral's name for it is "lncRNA (ENSARWG00000006159.1)". The record is from RNAcentral. Lineage: Eukaryota; Metazoa; Chordata; Aves; Apterygiformes; Apterygidae.